UACGUGGGGGGCAAGCGUUGUUCGGAAUUACUGGGCGUAAAGGGCUCGUAGGCGGUCAACUAAGUCAGACGUGAAAUCCCUCGGCUUAACCGGGGAACUGCAUCUGAUACUGGAUGGCUUGAGAUUGGGAGAGGGAUGCGGAAUUCCAGGUGUAGCGGUGAAAUGCGUAGAUAUCUGGAGGAACACCGGUGGCGAGGGCGGCAUCCUGGACCAACACUGACGCUGAGGAGCGAAAGCCAGGGGAGCAAACGGG
Molecule: ribosomal RNA, 253 nt
Filed under: uncultured bacterium
Lineage: Bacteria
Description: partial 16S ribosomal RNA
Rfam family: Bacterial small subunit ribosomal RNA
Source: RNAcentral